This 253-nucleotide ribosomal RNA is filed under the name uncultured bacterium. RNAcentral describes it as "partial 16S ribosomal RNA". It matches the Rfam family "Bacterial small subunit ribosomal RNA", at positions 524 to 776 of the family's 1533-position model. The record is from RNAcentral.
UACGUAGGGUGCAAGCGUUAAUCGGAAUUACUGGGCGUAAAGCGUGCGCAGGCGGUGAUGUAAGACAGAUGUGAAAUCCCCGGGCUCAACCUGGGACCUGCAUUUGUGACUGCAUCGCUGGAGUGCGGCAGAGGGGGAUGGAAUUCCGCGUGUAGCAGUGAAAUGCGUAGAUAUGCGGAGGAACACCGAUGGCGAAGGCAAUCCCCUGGGCCUGCACUGACGCUCAUGCACGAAAGCGUGGGGAGCAAACAGG